RNAcentral lists this transfer RNA (82 nucleotides) under Dermacentor andersoni. Its description in RNAcentral is "transfer RNA serine (anticodon CGA)". It matches the Rfam family "tRNA". Rfam says of the family: Transfer RNA (tRNA) molecules are approximately 80 nucleotides in length. The record is from RNAcentral. Lineage: Eukaryota; Metazoa; Arthropoda; Arachnida; Ixodida; Ixodidae.
GCAGUCGUGGCCGAGUGGUUAAGGCGAUGGACUCGAAAUCCAUUGGGGUUUCCCCGCACAGGUUCGAAUCCAGUCGGCUGCG